AGUGGACGCUGGCGGUAGGCCUAACACAUGCAAGUCGAACGGCAGCACAGUAAGAGCUUGCUCUUACGGGUGGCGAGUGGCGGACGGGUGAGGAAUACAUCGGAAUCUACUUUUUCGUGGGGGAUAACGUAGGGAAACUUACGCUAAUACCGCAUACGACCUACGGGUGAAAGCAGGGGAUCUUCGGACCUUGCGCGAUUGAAUGAGCCGAUGUCGGAUUAGCUAGUUGGCGGGGUAAAGGCCCACCAAGGCGACGAUCCGUAGCUGGUCUGAGAGGAUGAUCAGCCACACUGGAACUGAGUCACGGUCCAGACUCCUACGGGAGGCAGCAGUGGGGAAUAUUGGACAAUGGGCGCAAGCCUGAUCCAGCCAUACCGCGUGGGUGAAGAAGGCCUUCGGGUUGUAAAGCCCUUUUGUUGGGAAAGAAAAGCAGCAGGUUAAUACCCCGCUGUUCUGACGGUACCCAAAGAAUAAGCACCGGCUAACUUCGUG
RNAcentral lists this ribosomal RNA (492 nucleotides) under uncultured bacterium. Its description in RNAcentral is "partial 16S ribosomal RNA". It matches the Rfam family "Bacterial small subunit ribosomal RNA", at positions 29 to 507 of the family's 1533-position model. The record is from RNAcentral.